GGGCAGCAGUGGGGAAUUUUGGACAAUGGGCGCAAGCCUGAUCCAGCAAUGCCGCGUGAGUGAAGAAGGCCUUCGGGUUGUAAAGCUCUUUUGUCAGGGAAGAAACGGUAGGGGCUAAUAUCCCUUGCUAAUGACGGUACCUGAAGAAUAAGCACCGGCUAACUACGUGCCAGCAGCCGCGGUAAUACGUAGGGUGCAAGCGUUAAUCGGAAUUACUGGGCGUAAAGCGUGCGCAGGCGGUUUUGUAAGUCUGACGUGAAAUCCCCGGGCUCAACCUGGGAAUUGCGUUGGAGACUGCAAGGCUGGAGUCUGGCAGAGGGGGGUAGAAUUCCACGUGUAGCAGUGAAAUGCGUAGAGAUGUGGAGGAACACCGAUGGCGAAGGCAGCCCCCUGGGUCAAGACUGACGCUCAUGCACGAAAGCGUGGGGAGCAAACAGGAUUAGAUACCCUGGUAGUCCACGCCCUAAACGAUGUCUACUAGUUGUCGGGUUUUAAUUAACUUGGUAACGCAGCUAACGCGUGAAGUAGACCGCUGGGAUACGUCGCA
RNAcentral lists this ribosomal RNA (547 nucleotides) under uncultured bacterium. Its description in RNAcentral is "bacterial SSU rRNA". It matches the Rfam family "Bacterial small subunit ribosomal RNA", at positions 346 to 873 of the family's 1533-position model. The record is from RNAcentral.